This 253-nucleotide ribosomal RNA is filed under the name uncultured bacterium. RNAcentral describes it as "partial 16S ribosomal RNA". It matches the Rfam family "Bacterial small subunit ribosomal RNA", at positions 524 to 776 of the family's 1533-position model. The record is from RNAcentral.
GACGUAGGAUGCGAGCGUUAUCCGGAAUUAUUGGGCGUAAAGAGUUCGUAGACGAACUGUUAAGUAGAAUGUUAAAGACCAGGGCCUAACCCUGGGAACGUGUUCUAAACUGGCAGAAUAGAGCAAUUCAGAGGCAAGUAGAAUUCUGUGUGUAGGGGUAAUAUCCGUAGAUAUACAGAGGAAUACCAAAAGCGAAGGCAGCUUGCUGGGAAUUUGCUGACGUUCAAGAACGAAAGCGUGGGGAGCAAACAGG